CCCGCUGAACUUAAGCAUAUCAGUAAGUGGAGGAAAAGAAACUAACAAGGAUUCCCUCAGUAACGGCGAGUGAAGCGGGAUGAGCUCAUAAUUUUAAUCCAUUUUUUGGAAUUGUAAUUUGAAAGAGAGGGGUUUGUGUUGAAGGGUGGUUCAAGUCUCUUGGAAUAGAAUACUAGAAAGGGUGAGAGUCCCGUGGGACCACUCUAGUCCACAAUUGAUCCCUCUCUAAAGAGUCGGGUUGCUUGGGAAUGCAGCUCAAAGAGGGUGGUAAAUUUCAUCUAAAGCUAAAUACGGGCGAGAGACCGAUAGCGAACAAGUACCGUGAGGGAAAGAUGAAAAGGACUUUGAAAAGAGAGUUAAAAGUGUGUGAAAUUGUUACUAUGGAAACGAAUGAUAUUAGUAGAGAGGAAGUGUGGUAAUUCUGGCAGGCGUUAGCCUGACAGUGUUGAACCUUCUUCAAGUCAGUGUGUGUUUUUGGUGUUGGAUAAAGGUAACUGGAGGUGGGGUAAUCAACUCUUUAUAACGGUUACUGUAACAAUGUUGGAGACAUGGAAGAAGUAUUGUUAUCAUUGACAAAAUAAUAUCAUACGACCCGUCUUGAAACACGG
This 608-nucleotide ribosomal RNA is filed under the name uncultured fungus. RNAcentral's name for it is "eukaryotic LSU rRNA". It matches the Rfam family "Eukaryotic large subunit ribosomal RNA", at positions 24 to 664 of the family's 3401-position model. Lineage: Eukaryota; Fungi. The record is from RNAcentral.